GGACCAGACUCCUACGGGAGGCAGCAGUGAGGAAUAUUGGUCAAUGGACGGAAGUCUGAACCAGCCAUGCCGCGUGCAGGAAGACGGCUCUAUGAGUUGUAAACUGCUUUUGUACAAGGGUAAACCUGAAUACGUGUAUUCAGCUGAAAGUACUGUACGAAUAAGGAUCGGCUAACUCCGUGCCAGCAGCCGCGGUAAUACGGAGGAUCCAAGCGUUAUCCGGAUUUAUUGGGUUUAAAGGGUGCGUAGGCGGAUGGAUAAGUUAGAGGUGAAAUGUCCGAGCUUAACUCGGGAACUGCCUCUAAUACUGUUGAUCUAGAGAGUAGAUGCGGUAGGCGGAAUGUAUGGUGUAGCGGUGAAAUGCAUAGAUAUCACGCAGAACUCCGAUCGCGAAGGCAGCCUACCGGCGCGCAACUGACGCUCAUGCACGAAAGCGUGGGUAUCGAACAGGAUUAGAUACCCUUGUAA
RNAcentral lists this ribosomal RNA (468 nucleotides) under uncultured bacterium. RNAcentral describes it as "bacterial SSU rRNA". It matches the Rfam family "Bacterial small subunit ribosomal RNA", at positions 328 to 793 of the family's 1533-position model. The record is from RNAcentral.